RNAcentral lists this small RNA (123 nucleotides) under Marmota monax (woodchuck). The record is from RNAcentral. Lineage: Eukaryota; Metazoa; Chordata; Mammalia; Rodentia; Sciuridae.
GCUCAUGGUGGCGCAUGCCCGUAAUUCCAGUGACUCUGGAGGCUGAGGCAGGAGGAUCUCAAGUUCAAAGCCAGCCUCGCAACUUAGCGAGGCACUUAGCAACUUAGUGAGACCCUGUCUUUA